This 1463-nucleotide ribosomal RNA is filed under the name uncultured bacterium. Its description in RNAcentral is "partial 16S ribosomal RNA". It matches the Rfam family "Bacterial small subunit ribosomal RNA". The record is from RNAcentral.
AGGGUUUGAUCAUGGCUCAGAACGAACGCUGGCGGCAUGCCUUAUACAUGCAAGUCGAACGAGAAAGUCACUUCGGUGGCGAGUACAGUGGCGCACGGGUGAGUAACGCGUAGAUGAUCUACCCUUCAGUCUGGGACAACUCUUGGAAACGGGAGCUAAUACCGGAUAAAACCUUCGGGUUGAAAGAUUUAUCGCUGGGGGAUGAGUCUGCGUACCAUUAGCUUGUUGGUGGGAUAACGGCCUACCAAGGCGACGAUGGUUAGCGGGUCUGAGAGGACGAUCCGCCACACUGGAACUGAGACACGGUCCAGACUCCUACGGGAGGCAGCAGUAGGGAAUAUUGCGCAAUGGGGGCAACCCUGACGCAGCAAUGCCGCGUGAGUGAAGAAGGCCUUCGGGUCGUAAAGCUCUUUUAUGGGGGAAGAUGAUGACGGUACCCCAUGAAUAAGCACCGGCUAACUACGUGCCAGCAGCCGCGGUAAUACGUAGGGUGCGAGCGUUGUUCGGAAUUACUGGGCGUAAAGGGUGCGUAGGCGGCUAGGUGUGUUAGGUGUGAAAUCUCGGGGCUCAACCUCGAAACUGCGCCUAAAACUGCCUAGCUAGAGUAUGAUAGAGGAAAGCAGAAUUUCUAGUGUAGAGGUGAAAUUCGUAGAUAUUAGAAAGAAUACCAAUUGCGAAGGCAGCUUUCUGGAUCAUUACUGACACUGAGGAACGAAAGCAUGGGUAGCGAAGAGGAUUAGAUACCCUCGUAGUCCAUGCCGUAAACGAUGUGUGUUAGAUGUUGGAAAUUUAUUUUCAGUAUCGCAGCGAAAGCAAUAAACACACCGCCUGGGGAGUACGACCGCAAGGUUAAAACUCAAAUGAAUUGACGGGGACCCGCACAAGUAGUGGAGCAUGUGGUUUAAUUCGAAGAUACGCGCAGAACCUUACCAACACUUGAAAUGUUCGUCGCGACUCUAAGAGAUUAGAGUUUUCGGUUCGGCCGGACGAAACACAGGUGCUGCAUGGCUGUCGUCAGCUCGUGUCGUGAGAUGUUGGGUUAAGUCCCGCAACGAGCGCAACCCUUGCCCUCAGUUGCCAGCAGUUCGGCUGGGCACUCUGGGGGGACUGCCGGUGACAAGCCGGAGGAAGGUGGGGAUGACGUCAAGUCCUCAUGGCCUUUAUAUCCAGGGCUACACACGUGUUACAAUGGGGGUCACAAAGGGCAGCGAAACGGUGACGUGGAGCGAAUCCCAAAAAAGCCCUCUCAGUUCGGAUCGCAGUCUGCAACUCGACUGCGUGAAGCUGGAAUCGCUAGUAAUCGCGGAUCAGCACGCCGCGGUGAAUACGUUCCCGGGCCUUGUACACACCGCCCGUCACACCAUGGGAGUUGACAGGGGCAGAAGCCGCCGAGCCAACCUUCGGGAGGCAGGCGUCCAAGCUCCGGUUGAUGACUGGGGUGAAGUCGUAACAAGGUAGCCGUA